This 253-nucleotide ribosomal RNA is filed under the name uncultured bacterium. RNAcentral describes it as "partial 16S ribosomal RNA". It matches the Rfam family "Bacterial small subunit ribosomal RNA", at positions 524 to 776 of the family's 1533-position model. The record is from RNAcentral.
UACAGAGGGUGCAAGCGUUAAUCGGAAUUACUGGGCGUAAAGCGUGCGUAGACGGUUAUGUAAGUCGGGUGUGAAAGCCCCGGGCUCAACCUGGGAAUUGCAUUCGAGACUGUGUAGCUAGGGUACGGAAGAGGGAAGCGGAAUUUCAGGUGUAGCGGUGGAAUGCGUAGAUAUCUGGAGGAAUACCGGUGGCGAAGGCGGCAUCCUGGACCGACAUUGACGCUGAGGAGCGAAAGCUAGGGGAGCAAACGGG